Molecule: ribosomal RNA, 623 nt
Filed under: uncultured Moraxella sp.
Lineage: Bacteria; Pseudomonadati; Pseudomonadota; Gammaproteobacteria; Moraxellales; Moraxellaceae
Description: bacterial SSU rRNA
Rfam family: Bacterial small subunit ribosomal RNA
Source: RNAcentral
UGAAGGCCUACCAAGGCGACGAUCUGUAGCUGGUCUGAGAGGAUGAUCAGCCACACUGGGACUGAGACACGGCCCAGACUCCUACGGGAGGCAGCAGUGGGGAAUAUUGGACAAUGGGCGAAAGCCUGAUCCAGCCAUGCCGCGUGUGUGAAGAAGGCCUUUUGGUUGUAAAGCACUUUAAGUGGGGAGGAAAAGCUUAUGGUUAAUACCCAUAAGCCCUGACGUUACCCACAGAAUAAGCACCGGCUAACUCUGUGCCAGCAGCCGCGGUAAUACAGAGGGUGCAAGCGUUAAUCGGAAUUACUGGGCGUAAAGCGCGCGUAGGUGGUUAUUUAAGUCAGAUGUGAAAGCCCCGGGCUUAACCUGGGAACUGCAUCUGAUACUGGAUAACUAGAGUAGGUGAGAGGGGAGUAGAAUUCCAGGUGUAGCGGUGAAAUGCGUAGAGAUCUGGAGGAAUACCGAUGGCGAAGGCAGCUCCCUGGCAUCAUACUGACACUGAGGUGCGAAAGCGUGGGUAGCAAACAGGAUUAGAUACCCUGGUAGUCCACGCCGUAAACGAUGUCUACCAGUCGUUGGGUCUUUUAAAGACUUAGUGACGCAGUUAACGCAAUAAGUAGACCACC